UACGGAGGAUCCGAGCGUUAUCCGGAUUUAUUGGGUUUAAAGGGUGCGUAGGCGGCCUUUUAAGUCAGGAGUGAAAUACGUCAGCUCAACUGGCGCAGUGCUCUUGAUACUGAUGGGCUUGAAUGCAGCUGAAGUGGGCGGAACAAGACAAGUAGCGGUGAAAUGCAUAGAUAUGUCUUAGAACCCCGAUUGCGAAGGCAGCUCACUAACCUGCAAUUGACGCUGAUGCACGAAAGCGUGGGGAUCGAACAGG
RNAcentral lists this ribosomal RNA (253 nucleotides) under uncultured bacterium. RNAcentral describes it as "partial 16S ribosomal RNA". It matches the Rfam family "Bacterial small subunit ribosomal RNA", at positions 524 to 776 of the family's 1533-position model. The record is from RNAcentral.